This is a long non-coding RNA of Sinocyclocheilus anshuiensis, 266 nucleotides long. RefSeq lists it as uncharacterized. Lineage: Eukaryota; Metazoa; Chordata; Actinopteri; Cypriniformes; Cyprinidae. The record is from RefSeq and is a predicted model, not a curated record. The transcript has 3 exons.
GUUUUACAAACAAUUUAAAAUGUGUCUGCUAGUUGGUAGUACGGCUCAAGUCCAGCCUCAAGUUACAUAGAUAUUUUCAUUUCUAGACAUUGGUCAGGUAACAGGAUUUCUGAAAUAGAAAAUGGGGACAUUAGCUAGUUCAGUGGUCAAAAUACCAAAAGUCACUUGUUAUUGUCUAUGAACUAUCAGCAACAUUUAAAAUUGUGUGUAAAACAAUUCUGCAUGGUGUUCAAGCCUUGUUAUUUUGAACAUACAAACAGUAUUAC